UAGGGAAUCUUCCGCAAUGGACGGAAGUCUGACGGAGCAACGCCGCGUGAGCGAAGAAGGUCUUCGGAUCGUAAAGCUCUGUUGUGAGGGAAGAACAAGGAUGGGAGUAACUGUCUAUUCUUUGACGGUACCUCACCAGAAAGCCACGGCUAACUACGUGCCAGCAGCCGCGGUAAUACGUAGGUGGCAAGCGUUGUCCGGAAUUAUUGGGCGUAAAGGGCGCGCAGGCGGUUCCUUAAGUCUGAUGUGAAACCUUGCGGCUUAACCGCAAGCGGUCAUUGGAAACUGGGGGACUUGAGUGCAGAAGAGGAGAGUGGAAUUCCACGUGUAGCGGUGAAAUGCGUAGAGAUGUGGAGGAACACCAGUGGCGAAGGCGGCUCUCUGGUCUGCAACUGACGCUGAGGCGCGAAAGCGUGGGUAGCGAACA
RNAcentral lists this ribosomal RNA (427 nucleotides) under uncultured Anoxybacillus sp. RNAcentral describes it as "bacterial SSU rRNA". It matches the Rfam family "Bacterial small subunit ribosomal RNA", at positions 355 to 774 of the family's 1533-position model. Lineage: Bacteria; Bacillati; Bacillota; Bacilli; Caryophanales; Anoxybacillaceae. The record is from RNAcentral.